AUGGGGGAGAAAGAAACAUCAAAGGAAACUAUGGUUUAUGAAUCUAGCAAAAAUGAUGAUGAACCUAUCAUGUUUUUAAACCCAAAACCUCUAAGUAUAAUUGUUUUCGUUCAUAUUUCAUCAAGAAGAACAAACAACACUACUACUAUGAAGAAUAAAUAUGCUAAAAAGGCGAUCAGGAAUAGUCCGUCAGAGCUUAGAGAUUAG
Vicia faba (fava bean) is the source of this 207-nucleotide non-coding RNA. NCBI's taxonomy places the organism in Eukaryota, Viridiplantae, Streptophyta, Magnoliopsida, Fabales, Fabaceae. The record is from the annotation of a GenBank genome assembly.